Molecule: ribosomal RNA, 292 nt
Filed under: uncultured bacterium
Lineage: Bacteria
Description: partial 16S ribosomal RNA
Rfam family: Bacterial small subunit ribosomal RNA
Source: RNAcentral
GUGUCAGCCGCCGCGGUAAGACGAGGGGUGCAAACGUUAUUCGGAAUGAUUGGGUGUAAAGGGUGCGUAGGCGGUAUGUUAAGUCAAUCGUUAAAUUUUUCAGCUUAACUGAAAGUCAGCGGUAGAAACUGGCGUACUUGAGGAUGGAAGAGAGAAGUAGAAUUCUCGGAGUAGCGGUAAAAUGCGUAGAUCUCGAGAGGAAUACCGAUGGCGAAGGCAGCUUCUUGGUCCAUAUCUGACGCUGAGGCACGAAAGCGUGGGGAGCAAACAGGAUUAGAUACCCUGGUAGUCC